GACGAACGCUGGCGGCGUGCUUAACACAUGCAAGUCGAACGGAAAGGCCCUGCUUUUGUGGGGUGCACGAGUGGCGAACGGGUGAGUAACACGUGAGUAACCUGCCCUUGACUUUGGGAUAACUUCAGGAAACUGGGGCUAAUACCGGAUAGGAGCUCCUGCUGCAUGGUGGGGGUUGGAAAGUUUCGGCGGUUGGGGAUGGACUCGCGGCUUAUCAGCUUGUUGGUGGGGUAGUGGCUUACCAAGGCUUUGACGGGUAGCCGGCCUGAGAGGGUGACCGGCCACAUUGGGACUGAGAUACGGCCCAGACUCCUACGGGAGGCAGCAGUGGGGAAUAUUGCACAAUGGGCGGAAGCCUGAUGCAGCAACGCCGCGUGCGGGAUGACGGCCUUCGGGUUGUAAACCGCUUUCGCCUGUGACGAAGCGUGAGUGACGGUAAUGGGUAAAGAAGCACCGGCUAACUACGUGCCAGCAGCCGCGGUGAUACGUAGGGUGCGAGCGUUGUCCGGAUUUAUUGGGCGUAAAGGGCUCGUAGGUGGUUGAUCGCGUCGGAAGUGUAAUCUUGGGGCUUAACCCUGAGCGUGCUUUCGAUACGGGUUGACUUGAGGAAGGUAGGGGAGAAUGGAAUUCCUGGUGGAGCGGUGGAAUGCGCAGAUAUCAGGAGGAACACCAGUGGCGGAGGCGGUUCUCUGGGCCUUUCCUGACGCUGAGGAGCGAAGGCGUGGGGAGCGAACAGGCUUAGAUACCCUGGUAGUCCACGCUGUAAACGGUGGGUACUAGGUGUGGGGUCCAUUCCACGGGUUCCGUGCCGUAGCUAACGCUUUAAGUACCCCGCCUGGGGAGUACGGCCGCAAGGCUAAAACUCAAAGGAAUUGACGGGGCCCCGCACAAGCGGCGGAGCAUGCGGAUUAAUUCGAUGCAACGCGUAGAACCUUACCUGGGUUUGACAUGGAUCGGGAGUGCUCAGAGAUGGGUGUGCCUCUUUUGGGGUCGGUUCACAGGUGGUGCAUGGCUGUCGUCAGCUCGUGUCGUGAGAUGUUGGGUUAAGUCCCGCAACGAGCGCAACCCUUGUUCACUGUUGCCAGCACGUUAUGGUGGGGACUCAGUGGAGACCGCCGGGGUCAACUCGGAGGAAGGUGGGGAUGACGUCAAGUCAUCAUGCCCCUUAUGUCCAGGGCUUCACGCAUGCUACAAUGGCUGGUACAGAGAGUGGCGAGCCUGUGAGGGUGAGCGAAUCUCGGAAAGCCGGUCUCAGUUCGGAUUGGGGUCUGCAACUCGACCUCAUGAAGUCGGAGUCGCUAGUAAUCGCAGAUCAGCAACGCUGCGGUGAAUAAAAGCCCGGGGCU
Molecule: ribosomal RNA, 1346 nt
Filed under: uncultured bacterium
Lineage: Bacteria
Description: partial 16S ribosomal RNA
Rfam family: Bacterial small subunit ribosomal RNA
Source: RNAcentral